UGGGAGAGCGCGGGACAUUUCCACUCAAAAGAAUUAUAGCCACCGCUCAAAAAAAGAGGAGAAUUAGAGCCACCACAUGACCUGUUCUCCCCCAAAUCGGCCCCUCCCUAGACCUCCUCCUCGACCACCGCCGCCGCCCCCUCUGCCGUUGACCACGCCCUCCACCUCCCCCCUUUGGUUGACCUGUGCGACCCCAUCGGGAUCUAUGGCGGCGGUGCUUGGAUCUCGGCGUCGCCUCCCUCGAUACGCCUAUGGUGUACGAGGUCGUCGUUGCCUCCCUCCCUUCGACACCACCACCAGAACUGGUCGACGAUGCCGGUCGCCUCCAUCUCUUCUUUACAGUCCAUCACGCCGACGAGCAUAGGCCCCCACCACAGCUUCCUCCCCGCCAACGGCGAGCGUGGUGUCCCAUCUCUACUGUGCUGGUACAAUACUUUCCUCAGAUCCAUCUUGGUGGAAACCUGAUGCAGGUGAGAUCUUCCUUACCAAGGUUGUUAAUCUUUUCUUCUCUGCUCGAUGAGAAAUCAUGGUACUCAUUGUCCAGUUCUCCGUACGAAGGCAGAUUUUUCCCUUCCAGCGAGUUACUACUGAGCGUGUUCCUUAUUGUUUUUUUCCUUUUCCUACCAAAUUGAUGCAGGUGCUAUUAGUGAAAGGAUUGGAGACUGGUUCUAGCAGUGGUUGGUUUGUUCGAGGAAUUCCUGGUGCUCGUGAUUAGUAAAGGGUUUCAGCCCAGGUUAGUGUAUAUUUCGUUUUGUUAUCUUAAUAUGCAAGUAUAUGUGCCUACUUCAUUUGCUUGUAUCCAUCCUUCUUAGUACAUGGAUCGGUCUUUAUUUAUUCAGGUUCAGACAUUGCGCAACUGAAGACUGUGUAUACUAGUCAAAGGCACGAGCUAUGCACGUGUUCUUCACUCACUCAUCUGUUUAUUUGAGCAACAUUUAUUUUCAGACGGGAGUAGUAUGUAUGCUGUUGAGUGUUAAAUCCCGUCCAAAGGAUUGGCAAGUUGCUGCUUCAAAAAUUGGUAGAUACAAACGAUUAGUGCUCUGUACAAGCUAGUUGUUUAUAGAAGAAGGUUACUCUAGUCAUCGUUGUUUCCCGAUCAUAGCCACAAAAGAUCUUGAAUAGCAGAGUUUCACCAGUGGGCCCAUUUGGAACCGUCAGGAUUCCAGAAAGGUCCUGGAGUCGUUUUGGCGCUUGCCCGUACAUUGCGAAUCUAAGAAAUGUCAACCAUUAGAUCUCUUGGGCAAGGUACUGAUGAACGGUGGAUAUUCAUUUUAUGGAACAAAUCAAUGACUUGUAUUUGCUCUGGAGUCUGGGCGGACUGCUAAUCCAAAUUCAAAAAAUUAUGUACUAUAGUAGUAGGGGAAUGUAGCGCUCUAUAAAGUUUUUGGUGCCACCAUCUGAAAGAGCUAAAUUUAUAGACAUGAGUGUGGAUUUGAUAUUAAAAAUUUCUCUACAAAAGUAGCUACUUUUCCUGCCCUGAUUUACCAUCUAGCUAAUUGUUUCAUAGGAGUUCAAUACUGAGGUAACAGUUUUUUUCUCUCAAACUUGUGCUUGAAUGUACCAAUGAAGAUGCUCUUCACAACUCUAAUUCUUGGUGCCAAUGGGUAUUCUUCCAUUUACUAUGAUUAAGUGCUCUUUGUGCUAAUUCUGGAUGUUAAAAGAAAAUGAACUUUGACUAAUGAACAUGUAGUUGGAAUGAACAAGUACCCUUGUUUAUCUCCAUUGAUCGAUUGAUGUCAGAUCAUUUAGUUCACUCGUUAUCACGCACAUAUACUUGUACAUGUAAGAAAAGCAAUCAGAUAGAGAAUCUCUUUCUGUCUCUUCUGUGUUUGCUACAAAUAUAGACUGAAAGUGGAGUACUGCUUCUAGAGUUUAAAGAUUUGAACUUGCAAAAGUGUUAGUUCUCUGAUAUGAAGUUUAUUAUUUAUGUACUGUGAAAGUUGUUGUCUGAAUGUGAUAUAACCAUAUAUUAUAUAAAGAACAAGUUCACAUCGGUACCAAAAAUUAUGCUUAAACUUUCAUGCCAUCUAAUAGAUAGUAGUUUGUGUAUACUUUUCAACUUCACAAGCAUUGCAGUAACUACAUUGUCACAGGAAAUUAGAUAUUUUGAGAAGCUUCUACAAGAUCUUGAUAUCAUUUGUGUUCUAUCCCUUGAUCCUGUGCUUGAGAAGGUGCUUCCCUAAAUUGCACAAGUCCGAAAACUUGUACGUGAUUUGAUGUUCUUCUGGCGGUCACACUUACAUCCUUCAAGGAUCAUCCUUAUCAGUUAUUACAGUAAAUUUGUCGAUUUAGCGUUGUAAUUGCUAUUUGCACUAUUAGGAGUAUCUCCUGGAAAAAAAAUCUUCUAUAGAUAAACGUGACUAAUGUAUGUGUGUUGUGUUAGAUAUAGAUUUGGUUAUGAGUUACUACUUUUUGUGGUCAUGGGGAAAUUAAUCAUUCCAGGAUCUCAACAUUGUAGUAUUUUGCACAAAUUUGUGAAGUUCAACGCCUUAGUGUCAUGGCUCAGGACUAAAUGUUCUUGAGUUAUCACAUCAAAACUUGAGAUGUGAAAAUCAAACUACUUUUGCUUACUUGAUUCUUUUGAGCGUGCAUAUGAAACAAUGGUUAUCUAUGUCGCUUGCCUGUGCUAUCAGCUACUAUGAUCUAUCUUUCAUACUUAUAUACACAUUAUGCUUGGACAUGUGUUGUUUGUGUGAAAGGAAACAUCUAGUAUUUUGUAAUGCUUGAACUCAGGGUAAUCACUCCUUAAAUAUUUCUCCAUUUAAUCGAGUAAGAACAGUUCUUCAGAACAUUUUAUCAUUUUCAUAUUUAGACAUCUUGAUAGGAAGCACCAGGGAAUGUUUGUAGUUUCGAUUUAUAUUGUACGUAAAGGACUGUAGAUAUGCUCUCUGCCAGUGAAAACUUCUAAAUGAUCUAUGCACUAUGGCAGUGCCGCAGUGGAUACUUCUAAAUGACUGCACACAUGUUUUUAUUAAGUCUUAUCAGUAUAGGGAGUUCAAUAAUCUUUUGGUGCUAAACAAGCGGAUGCUACAACUGAAUACUAAAUCAUUAAAACGUUGUAGGAGUUUUACAAGCAAGCUUUGGGUAAAAAGAUUUUUGUAUUGUGAUGUUUAUUCCCAUUGGUCGAUCGAUGUGAUAUCAUCUAGUUCAACUGUCAUCAUGCACAUAUACUGUUACAUGGAAGAAAAAUAACUAGCUAGAGAACUUAUUUAUGUCUCCUUUCAUUUUGCUGCUAAGACAGACUGAAAGUGGAGUACUCUUCUAGAGUUUAAUUGUUAGUACAUGCUGAUUUUAUAAGGUUGGGGUCUUCAAUCUAGUUUUUACUCAAUAAGUUACUGUUUCUUAAGAAUAACAUGAAGCAUGGAUUCUUAUAUGUUCCAUGUAUUAUGUCAGGGCAAGUAAUUAUCAGCUGAGCAAAGGCUACAAGAUGCUAGAAGGAGAAGUUUGAAUGGAGGCAGAGAGUACACUAGGUAAGUCAUAUAUCCAACCUGAACUUGUUUACUCAUUUUUUAUUUUUGUUCUAGUCUGAGUCCAAAAAUAUGGCUUGACAAAUGGGGGUGACAUUCUGUACACAUGUGCACAUCUACCAUUCAUGCUUGUGAAGCACUUUUAAAAAUAAAAUGAAUAUGGCCAAAUUUGGGUUCCAAGUUUUGCCAUGCUGUCAUGACUUCGUAUUAGUUUGCCCCCUUCAACAUGUAAAACUAUGAACCUGACCAUAUUUUAUUUGGAACAUUUAGAUGAUGUUUCAGAAUGAAAACAAAAGGCAACGAUGAGAAGGAAAACAAACGGCAAUCUACUUACAUCUGAUGUGUAAAUUCUAAUGUGCCAAAAAUUUCUCUUUUCAGGAAAUAGAAUGGAAAAAGGAAGAGAAGACAAUGCUGAAGCACAAGAGUGAGAGGCUAGCGGAAGUUAAAGCAAUAAACUAUAAGCAUUUUGAAUGAUUUGGGCCUCGUGUUGUUGGGAACAUUACAACCAUGGGGAAAGCUAAUUUUGGUUGCUAGUUUAGCAUAGAACACUAUAUGCUCAUUUUGGUCAUGUCGAAUCCAAAAACAUAUUUAAUUUUCCUUUUGUUGCACAACACCCUUAUAUAUGGGCGUUUCUAGGAACAUAUGUAUUUGGUCGUUAAUUUCAUUGAAUGAAGUUAAGUUUUAUGAUGAGGUCCAUAUGUGAAUUAUGAAAUAGUGUCAUUUGUCUUGAUUGCCUGGAAAAAUGAAUGCAUAUUAAAUUAGCGAUUUGUUGCCC
RNAcentral lists this long non-coding RNA (4242 nucleotides) under Triticum aestivum (bread wheat). RNAcentral's name for it is "long non-coding RNA (TAES_LNC014575)". Lineage: Eukaryota; Viridiplantae; Streptophyta; Magnoliopsida; Poales; Poaceae. The record is from RNAcentral.